AUGAGAGGGCCAAUAAGAUGCCCUGGACAGAAGGAGUGGUCAGGGGUGGCUCAGCCUCUGGUGUGGAUGAUGGCUUACAGUGUGACUGUGAGCUAAGAUGUAGCAUUCAAGUGGAGGAAUGUGCUGGUGAGAGAAAGACAAGUUUGGUUUGGGACAAAUGAGUGUGAGGGCCCCAGCCUCUUGGCUGGCCAGUGAACACUUCCAAGAACCUUCAUACUUAAUACCUCUAUCACUCCUCCACUCAACAGGUGAGGAAACAUCAGUCCAGUGAGAGUGGCAUGUGUGGGGAGGAGCCCAGGCUUGCUCUGACCUCUCUCUGGGGCCCCCCACUCCAGAAGGUUGGAACAGCAUUCUACAGCAUUCCAGGAUGUGGAGGGGGCAGCAGUGUUUGUGUGCAGAGUGGCGAGGCCGACCUCCGAUGAGCUUCCCGUAGGAAGGGUGCAGUGGGGGGUGCUCACCCUGCCCAGGGAUGCUAUCUGCUCCAGGACUUGUUUAUCAGCCCACGGGGUGAUCGGCAUGACAUCAAUGGAUAUGCCAGGCUGCAGGCUACAGUGCCGAGAAGGAGAAGACGGAGGCGGUGGUGAUGUCACCCAAGGAAUUAAGUAAGCAGGGGAGCUGAUAACAUCGUCCAGCCAGGCUCACUGUGGGCAGGGUGACUCACUGAAGACGGCCUGCGAUCGCCAGGUGAUUGUUGUUGUGCCCAGCCUGUGGGGCUGGGGAGGAGGAAGGGGGGCAGGCCACAGAGCUGUGACAAGUUCCUCACCGAGGCCCCUGCUCAGGGGAGAGACCUCAGUACACAGUGUCCUCCACCUCUGAGCCCGGGGCUGGCUCAGGAAACAGCCCCCCUCUGCCUGUGCGAUUAUCUUUGUCCACAGUGUUUGGUGUGUGUUUGUGGGGUGUGUCAGGUGAUUUUCCUGCCCGAAGCCUGCUGGGUGCUCCAGGUACUAGCGAUUGCUCACAGCAGAGCAGUAGCCCCCUCCCUGGUUGGACAACUGUCUGUGGAGACAACACCGGAUGGCAAACUGCUAACCGCAACCACGUGGCGUCCUUACAGAGGGAACAGCCUGUUCCUCCCGCUGAGGGCACCUGCAGACCUGCCCCAUUCAUGGCUCCCUUCUCCCUCAGUCCCUGCUGAGGGGAUGGUCCCUUCCCACCCUUAAGGGCACCAUGGACUGUUGUCCAAGUUGAGAACUGUCCAACUGCAGGGGGCACCAUUCACUUGGCAGUCUUCGUGCCAGAUGCUAUGGCUGUCCACAGUGGCCCUGCCCCUUCCCUUUUGUAAAUUACUUCUCAGUUCCCUCCUCCACCAGAAUUAUCACACCAAACUUUCCCCCAUGUAUGCUUGCUUCUUUAUCACCUGACACUCUCAUUCAUUCAUUCCACAAAAAAAUUGUGGCGUUUGUGCAAGGUACUAUUCUAGGCAAGGGAACAAGACAGACCCUCCUGGAGCUCAUGGAGUUCAUAUUCUAGCAUGGGGGAGAACCAAUAAAUAAAUAAUUGGAUACAUAAAACUGCAAGUGACAAUAAGUGCUACAAAGAAAACUAAAGCCAGCCCAGGAUAGAGGGUGAUAGUGCCCUACUUCAGCUAGGACUGCCAGAAAGGCUUCUCUGUGGGGAGGUGGCCUCUGAGGGGAGACCUGGAGGCAGCAAAGGAGGAAGCCUUCCCGGCAGAGCCCCUCCCAUUGGCACCCAAUGCCAAAAGAAGUUUCUAUAACCCGUCCUGGUUCUGCCAGGAGCCUGCGGCAUGGCCUGGGGCGCUCAAUUCCCAGUGCAGGGUGUCUAUUUCUUCCCCCAACAAACAAGAGGCCUAGUCGCAUAGUCUCUUCCAGCACAA
This 1834-nucleotide long non-coding RNA is filed under the name Homo sapiens (human). RNAcentral describes it as "HSALNT0302107". The record is from RNAcentral. Lineage: Eukaryota; Metazoa; Chordata; Mammalia; Primates; Hominidae.